UCUAAUAUGGCAGAAUUAGUGCGAUGAAUUUAAGAUUCAUAUAUAAAAUAUUAUUUUUAUUAGAA
Molecule: transfer RNA, 65 nt
Filed under: Maoricicada campbelli
Lineage: Eukaryota; Metazoa; Arthropoda; Insecta; Hemiptera; Cicadidae
Description: tRNA-Leu
Source: RNAcentral